GACGAACGCUGGCGGCGUGCUUAACACAUGCAAGUCGAGCGAUGAAGCACCUUCGGGUGUGGAUUAGCGGCGAACGGGUGAAGAACACGUGAGGAAUCUGCCUUUCACUUCGGGAUAACUCCGGGAAACCGGGGCUAAUACCGGAUAUUUUCAACUGGCGGCAUCGCCGGUUGAAGAAAGUUUUUCGGUGAAAGAUGACCUCGCGGCCUAUCAGCUUGUUGGUGAGGUAAUGGCUCACCAAGGCGACGACGGGUAACCGGCCUGAGAGGGCGACCGGCCACACUGGGACUGAGACACGGCCCAGACUCCUACGGGAGGCAGCAGUGGGGAAUAUUGGGCAAUGGAGGAAACUCUGACCCAGCGACGCCGCGUGAGGGAUGAAGGCCUUCGGGUUGUAAACCUCUUUCAGCAGGGAAUAAGCGAAAGUGAAGGUACCUGCAGAAGAAGCACCGGCUAACUAUGUGCCAGCCGCCGCAGUAA
RNAcentral lists this ribosomal RNA (480 nucleotides) under uncultured bacterium. RNAcentral describes it as "partial 16S ribosomal RNA". It matches the Rfam family "Bacterial small subunit ribosomal RNA", at positions 28 to 523 of the family's 1533-position model. The record is from RNAcentral.